GGAUUGUGGCUCAGCGGUAGAGCACUCGCCUACCACAGGUGGGACCUGGGUUCAAUUCUCAGCACCA
This 67-nucleotide transfer RNA is filed under the name Marmota monax (woodchuck). RNAcentral's name for it is "tRNA.Gly". The record is from RNAcentral. Lineage: Eukaryota; Metazoa; Chordata; Mammalia; Rodentia; Sciuridae.